GGCAGUUCUUGGGUGAUGCACCUGGAAUUGGGCUCUCUCCUCUGUGGUUCCAUGUGUGUCACCCAAGAACCGCA
Non-coding RNA from Myotis davidii, 74 nucleotides. The record is from Rfam. Lineage: Eukaryota; Metazoa; Chordata; Mammalia; Chiroptera; Vespertilionidae.